RNAcentral lists this ribosomal RNA (460 nucleotides) under uncultured bacterium. RNAcentral describes it as "partial 16S ribosomal RNA". It matches the Rfam family "Bacterial small subunit ribosomal RNA", at positions 338 to 795 of the family's 1533-position model. The record is from RNAcentral.
CCUACGGGGGGCAGCAGUGAGGAAUAUUGGUCAAUGGGCUUACGCCUGAACCAGCCAAGUCGCGUGAGGGAAGACUGCCCUAUGGGUUGUAAACCUCUUUUGUCAGGGAGCAAGGCCGGCUACGUGUAGCCGGACUGAGAGUACCUGAAGAAAAAGCAUCCGCUAACUCCGUGCCAGCAGCCGCGGGAAUACGGGGGAUGCGAGCGUUAUCGGGAUUUAUUGGGUGAAAUGGGUGCGUAGGCGGAAUGCAAAGUAAGGGGUAAAAUCGCGGGGCUCAACCGCGCUCCGCCGUUGAUACUGGCGUUCUUGAGUGGGCGAGAAGGAUGCGGAAUGCGAGGUGUAGCGGGGAAAUGCAUAGAUAUCACGCAGAAUUCCGAUUGCGAAGGCAGCAUACCGGCGCCCAACUGACGCUGAAGCACGAAAGCGUGGGUAUCGAACAGGAUUAGAUACCCCAGUAGUC